GUUGACCUCGGAUCAGGUAGGAAUACCCGCUGAACUUAAGCAUAUCAAUAAGCGGAGGAAAAGAAACCAACAGGGAUUGCCCCAGUAACGGCGAGUGAAGCGGCAACAGCUCAAAUUUGAAAUCUGGCCCCAGGCCCGAGUUGUAAUUUGCAGAGGAUGCUUUUGGCGCGGUGCCUUCCGAGUUCCCUGGAACGGGACGCCAUAGAGGGUGAGAGCCCCGUACGGUUGGACACCAAGUCUUUGUAAAGCUCCUUCGACGAGUCGAGUAGUUUGGGAAUGCUGCUCAAAAUGGGAGGUAUAUUUCUUCUAAAGCUAAAUAUUGGCCAGAGACCGAUAGCGCACAAGUAGAGUGAUCGAAAGAUGAAAAGCACUUUGAAAAGAGGGUUAAACAGCACGUGAAAUUGUUAAAAGGGAAGCGCUUGUGACCAGACUUGCGUCCGGUGAAUCACCCAGCUCUCGCGGCUGGGGCAUUUUGCCGGCUCAGGCCAGCAUCAGCUUGCCGUCGGGGACAAAAGCUUCGGGAACGUAGCUCUCUUCGGGGAGUGUUAUAGCCCGUUGCAUAAUACCCUUCGGUGGGCUGAGGUACGCGCUCCGCAAGGAUGCUGGCGUAAUGGUCAUCAGCGAC
RNAcentral lists this ribosomal RNA (625 nucleotides) under Colletotrichum truncatum. Its description in RNAcentral is "eukaryotic LSU rRNA". It matches the Rfam family "Eukaryotic large subunit ribosomal RNA", at positions 1 to 648 of the family's 3401-position model. Lineage: Eukaryota; Fungi; Ascomycota; Sordariomycetes; Glomerellales; Glomerellaceae. The record is from RNAcentral.